This 497-nucleotide ribosomal RNA is filed under the name uncultured bacterium. RNAcentral's name for it is "partial 16S ribosomal RNA". It matches the Rfam family "Bacterial small subunit ribosomal RNA", at positions 28 to 507 of the family's 1533-position model. The record is from RNAcentral.
GAUGAACGCUGGCGGCGUGCCUAAUACAUGCAAGUCGAGCGAACAGACGAGGAGCUUGCUCCUCUGACGUUAGCGGCGGACGGGUGAGUAACACGUGGAUAACCUACCUAUCAGACUGGGAUAACUUCGGGACACCGGAGCUAAUACCGGAUAAUAUAUUGAACCGCAUGGUUCAAUAGUGAAAGACGGUUUUGCUGUCACUUAUAGAUGGAUCCGCGCCGCAUUAGCUAGUUGGUAAGGUAACGGCUUACCAAGGCAACGAUGCGUAGCCGACCGGAGAGGGUGGUCGGCCACACUAGAACUGGGACACGGUCCAGACUCCUACGGGAGGCAGCAGUAGGGAAUCUUCCGCAAUGGGCGAAAGCCUGACGGAGCAACGCCGCGUGAGUUAUGAAGGUCUUCGGAUCGUAAAACUCUGUUAUUAGUGAAGAACAAAUGUGUAAGUAACUAUGCACUGCUUGACGGUACCUAAUCAGAAAGCCACGGCUAACUACGUG